ACCACCAGAUCUGGAGACCUAUUUCCCUGUGAAAGUUGAAUUUCAGAGAUUGUCCACUACUGGUAUUCUUCCAGAAAGUAAAGUCAUUAUACAUGUUUCCAAAGAUACCCUUCUGAAGCCAAAAAUGUAAGAUUGUGGAGCAGUGACUGGGGGAAAAAAAUCUACCCACAAUACACAGGCAGACUCAUUUGCAAGAAAUGUGCAGAAAAAAAACAGACUAAGAAAGAUGCAGUCCCUGGUCCCAAAGAAUUUCUACUUUAUGUUAAAAUAACAAUAGUGGGAAAAUAUGACAGAACAGAAAAGGGUUGAAAUAGGAUGAGUAUGUCAUCAUGCAGUCUCAUGGGGAAGUUAGUAAAUGUGUCUAAAAGGUAAUAAGGAAGCUUUUGUUUCCUGGAUUUUUUCUACUACUGUUUAUAAAUUAAUAAUGUAGCCAGCUGUAGAGAUGAACAGAAAAAUAUAUUCAUUGCACACAGUAGCAUUAAUGCAGCUUUAAA
Gopherus flavomarginatus (Mexican gopher tortoise) is the source of this 494-nucleotide long non-coding RNA. RefSeq lists it as uncharacterized. The transcript is spliced from 3 exons. The record is from RefSeq and is a predicted model, not a curated record. Lineage: Eukaryota; Metazoa; Chordata; Testudines; Testudinidae.